CAGUAGCCGCGGUAAUACGUAGGUGGCAAGCGUUGUCCGGAAUUAUUGGGCGUAAAGGGCUCGCAGGCGGUUUCUUAAGUCUGAUGUGAAAGCCCCCGGCUCAACCGGGGAGGGUCAUUGGAAACUGGGAAACUUGAGUGCAGAAGAGUAGAGUGGAAUUCCACGUGUAGCGGUGAAAUGCGUAGAGACGUGGAGGAACACCAGUGGCGAAGGCGACUCUCUGGUCUGUAACUGACGCUGAGGAGCGAAAGCGUGGGGAGCGAACAGGAUUAGAUACCCGAGUAGUCCCUGUCUCUUAUAC
Molecule: ribosomal RNA, 301 nt
Filed under: uncultured bacterium
Lineage: Bacteria
Description: partial 16S ribosomal RNA
Rfam family: Bacterial small subunit ribosomal RNA
Source: RNAcentral